UACGAAGGGUGCUAGCGUUGUUCGGAAUCACUGGGCGUAAAGCGCACGUAGGCGGAUUGCUAAGUCAGGGGUGAAAUCCUGGAGCUCAACUCCAGAACUGCCUUUGAUACUGGCGAUCUUGAGUCCGGGAGAGGUGAGUGGAACUGCGAGUGUAGAGGUGAAAUUCGUAGAUAUUGGGAAGAACACCGGUGGCGAAGGCGGCGCUCUGGACCGAGACUGACGCUGAGGCGCGAAAGCGUGGGGAGCAAACAGG
RNAcentral lists this ribosomal RNA (253 nucleotides) under uncultured bacterium. Its description in RNAcentral is "partial 16S ribosomal RNA". It matches the Rfam family "Bacterial small subunit ribosomal RNA", at positions 524 to 776 of the family's 1533-position model. The record is from RNAcentral.